Pimephales promelas (fathead minnow) is the source of this 966-nucleotide non-coding RNA. Lineage: Eukaryota; Metazoa; Chordata; Actinopteri; Cypriniformes; Leuciscidae. The record is from the annotation of a RefSeq genome assembly.
UAGCCUAAGGUAAAAACUUUAAAUGUCGAACAUGAGCUGCCAUCACUUUGUUUUGUUUUUUAAUCUACAAAAUCAAUGUCAUUUCAGAAGUUGUCCACAGUUUGGCAUAAUGAUGUUGGUGCAAUAUUAAAGCUCGCACUGUAUGUGUGUUGGCCUGCAAACAUUUGUGCACUGGGAUAUUUAUUAGACUGUUAUAAUCUAUGUUAAUCUGGAUGAAGAAUUUAUUUGUAAUGGCUGCAGUUCUCGGCAUAUAACUGUUAAAUUAAUUAGAGCUUAUUAAGUGCCGGUUUCAGAUAAGCAGACUGAAAUACAGUGUUGGAUGAUAGCCCAUCUUAGGAAAUAUUAGUCUGAUGCUGACUUGUCAAUCAGAAUCAAGCGUUCUAGUACAGUAAGUGAUACAUAUUACAUACAGUCAUCGUUGGCUAAUACUGUAGCACAGGCUCCUCCCAGCAGUCAGAACAAAUGACUUGAAUUUAUUGCUGCUUUAACAGAUGCAGAAAGAGGAUCACAACAUCUUUGCAUACAGGCUAUAGUUGGUCAUUUCAAUUGUGGAUAAUGGCACUCUGGGGAAGUGCCAUUGUGAUCAUAUUUUUAUAUAUCUGGGGAUGUAAUUCUCAAGACAAAGUUGAUCAGUAUACAAAGAUUCAAUCUGCUGUUGAAGGUGAUGAUGUAACAAUCAACUGUACAUAUCAGACUGGUUACUCAAACCCGACUCUCUUCUGGUACCAGCAGAAAGUAGAUGAAAUCCCCAAGUUCAUGCUAAAUAAAUUCUCUACAACCGGACAGAAUGAAGAUGAAUUUAAGGAGAGAUUUCAAGCAAAUCUCAGCAAAACAUCAGUUCCUCUGACAAUCCAGGAUGUGAGUGUGUCUGACUCUGCUGUGUAUUACUGUGCUCUGCAGCCCACUGUGACUCAAACACACUCAACACUCAUACAAAAACCCUCACAGUGCAACGCAACGGCAUAA